CGAAGUAGCAAUACUUAGUGGCAGACGGGUGAGUAACAUGUGGGUAUCUGCCCUUUGGCCUGGAAUAACACGAGGAAACUUGUGCUAAUACCGGAUAAGUCUUUACGGAGAAAGCUUUAUGCACCAUUGGAUGAGCCCGCACUUGAUUAGUUUGUUGGUAGGGUAAUGGCCUACCAAGACUGUGAUCAAUAGCUGAUUUGAGAGGAUGAUCAGCCACAUUGGGACUGAGACACGGCCCAAACUCCUACGGGAGGCAGCAGUGGGGAAUCUUGCACAAUGGAGGAAACUCUGAUGCAGCGAUGCCGCGUGAGUGAAGAAGGCCUUUGGGUUGUAAAGCUCUUUCGUCGGGGAAGAAAAUGACUGUACCCGAAUAAGAAGGUCCGG
RNAcentral lists this ribosomal RNA (384 nucleotides) under uncultured bacterium. RNAcentral describes it as "bacterial SSU rRNA". It matches the Rfam family "Bacterial small subunit ribosomal RNA", at positions 67 to 496 of the family's 1533-position model. The record is from RNAcentral.